GGUACUUUCCUGAAGGCAUCGAUAUAUACUUUGAAAAUGUUGGGGGAAAGAUGCUCGAUGCAGUCCUACUAAACAUGAGGAUGAAUGGCCGAAUCGCAAUUUGUGGGAUGAUCUCGCAGUACAACCUUGAGCAAACAGAAGGUGUGCAUAAUUUAAUAUCACUCAUCUCUAAACAGGUCCGUAUGCAAGGUUUCGUGGCUUUUAGUUACUAUCAUCUAUACGGGAAGUUUCUUGAAACAGUUCUACCUGCCAUAAAAGAAGGGAAGAUAAUAUACGUGGAAGAUGUAGUUGAAGGCCUUGAGAGCGCUCCGGGGGCUCUGGCAGGGCUCUUUGCUGGCCGCAAUGUCGGAAAGCAGGUGGUUUUAGUUUCUAGGGAUUGACUCCGUCACAGACGUCCAGUUGUCCCUAUGGAAUCUUGAUACUUGUAUAAAAGGCGUCAAAAUGACUUGAUUGAGCACUUGUGGGGUUGAAAUAAGAUCAAGAAACUUAAAACAAGCUUGUGGUAGGUGUUUUUUAUUAAGUUUAUUUGGUGGCUUUUUUUUUAAGUUUAUUUAGUGUGUUUUUUUAAGUUUAUUUGGUGUGUUUUUGUAAUUUUAUUUGGUGUGUUAUUUAUGUUGUUUUGAAUAAAGAUGAUCUUAGUUUACAUAACGAUUCUCUUCAUUUAAAUAAAAUAUACCAGAUUGAAUAUUUUUUCUGUAAUUUUUAUUAAUUUUACUGUAUUUUUUAAUAAGUUGUAUCUAACCUAAUUAAUAUGGACCGUUGGAUUACGAUGAAUGAUUAAUCCAAAAGCCUAGAUUUUGACACGUAAUCCCAACGGUAAUAAUAGGAUUUUUGCUGAUUUUUCUUUUUGGUUUAAAGUUUUUUAAGCCCCAAAAAUCUAGACCUUCUAAUAGACUAGAAUUUGCCACUUGUAAGCCGUUAUUUUCAAAUUCAAAAUUUUUGAACUGUUGGAAAUCCAAUGGCCAAAAAUAAUCGUUGGAAAUCCAACGGCCUAGACAGAGCCAUGUCCCCCAUGCGGCCCCAGAUUAGCUGAGUGUGCGGCUGUAGUGCGGGCCCCAACUCUGUAUUUUUGUCGGCUCCCUAAUUGAAAAAAUAAUAAUUUAUGUGACUGACAUCAGAUCCACCUAGUCGGUGGGCUAAGCAAUUCGAGGACAUGUGGUAUGUCGAGCACUUAGGCUCCCUUGAAGCCCACUGGAUUGGGUAGUGUUAACGCUCAAAGUUUGCAGGUCAAACCAAGACGAAUUUAGAGACAAAAUUUGCAAACUAAAUAAUGUGUUACUAAUAUGAAUAGGCACGUUUAUCAACGUUUAACUAAUGAACCAACCAUCAACUUCCAUAUCCUUAGAUUUCAAAAAUUUUAUCUACACAUUUAGUCUCCUUUAACAUUAUUUGGGAUGGACAUGCUGUAACUAGAGCACAUCGAGUCGGCCAAGCGGACAUGGACACACAGGUCACGCAUACACACGUCGACAUACAUGAAUCAAUCGGCCAAGCCGUUCACAUCGCUAAUUGCUCACAUCGCAUUUACACAUUCGGCGAUCGGCCUUGUUUGUAAGAAGCGAAGCAAAUUCAGUAGAAAAAGAAUAAAAAAUGGAAGUGACGAGCAACAAGCAUGUGAUACUCAGAGACUAUGUCACCGGCUUCCCCAAAGAAUCCGAUAUGCAAUUAGUCACCGCCGCAGCCACCAAGCUGAAGCUUCCAGAAGGUUCCACUGGGGUUCUGGUGAAGAACCUCUACUUGUCCUGCAACCCUUAUAUGAGAGGCCGCAUGACCAAGCGCGAACCCGGCGGCAGUUAUGUCCCCUCUUUCGUGCACAGUUCGGUCAGUUCAUCCUCCAUCUCUAAUCUCCCUAACUUGUUUUUAUUUUUAGAAAUUUUAGCAUUAAUUUCUGUAUAUUUACAAAUGGGGCUGAAGGAUUGAGAAUUUUUCUCUUUUGGGUCCUCCUUACAAUUUCCCCUUGGUGUCUGAACAUCUCUGCUUUACAAUAUACUUAGAUUAAUUCAAGCUAGCAUUUUUGUGAUGAACGUAAUGUCAUUUUUCUUGGCCAAACAAAAAAGCUUGCAUUUUUUGUGCCUAUUUAGUAUCGUAGAAUUAUAUUUUGUUACUAAUAAUUAUCGCAUCGAAGAUAUUGAAAUGCUGUGGACUGGCAGCCUAUAACCGGAUACGGAGUGGCUAAAGUUUUGGAAUCGGGGGAUCCCAUGUUCAAGGAAGGCGAUUUCGUUUGGGGGAUGACCGCGUGGGAAGAAUAUAGUCUCAUCGCUGCCACAAAGGCCCUGUUUAAGAUUCACGACACCGAUGUCCCACUCUCUUACUAUACUGGAAUUCUAGGCAUAUUUCUAGUGCUAUUUUCACCAAAUUUUGAAGUUGAUGUCUUGGGAAAAUUGCUUAUGUAGCACAUAGCUAGUUAUCUGAAAUUUAUAUAAGGAGAAAUUAGGUUCUCAUCCUUCCUUUUGCUACUACAUUAAUUAAAAUCCUAUUCCUUUUCAAUUUUUGAUCAAGGUCUUUGGGUAUUAAUAACAUCAUUAAUUAUUUCAAUAAUAAAAUAGUUUUUAAUUUCUAAAUAUAUUCAUUUAAUGUUAAAAAUGUUACAAUUUGUAUAUUUAUAUUUAUGACUAAAUUUUUUAUCAUAUAUUUUUAGUUUUAAUUUGUACCCAUUUUUAAUUUGUAAUUCUUUUUUAACUUGUACCAUUUUUCUUUUUAGUUUUAAUUUGUACCCAUAUAUUAAUUUCUUUUUUGUGUCCAUAUUUUUUAAAGUUUAUUUGUAUUUGUACCCAUAUAUUUUUUUAUUUGUACUUUUUAUUUUGCUAAAUGUACCCAUGCUAAUUAUAUGUACCCAUUCAUGUAAAACUUUUUAAUCUUAAAAUGUAUUCAUUCUUAAAUAUACCAAUUUGUUAUAUGUAAAAUGUACCAUUUUUUAUAUAUAUAAAAUGUGACAUCCCAUAUCGCCCAGGGGAGUGAUCCUUAAAUGUAUAUUCUCAUCCCUAUCUAGCACGAGGCCUUUUGGGAGCUCACUGGCUUCGGGUUCCGUAGGAACUCCGAAGUUAAGCAAAAAGGAGGUCAGGGCACUUCCAGGAUGGGUGACCCACUGGGAAGUUGCUCGUGAGUUCCUAAAAACAAAACUGUGAGGGAAUGGUAAAGCCCAAAGCGGACAAUAUCGUGCUACGGUGAUAGAGAUGGCCCGGGAAGUGGUCCGCCCCAGGCCGGGAUGUGACAAAUGGUAUCAGAGCCAAUCCUUGGCCGGAAGUGUGCCGACGAGGAUGUCGGGCCCCUAAGGGGAUGGAUUGUGACAUCCCACAUCGCCUAGGGAAGUGAUCCUUAAAUGUAUAUUCUCAUCCCUAUCUAGCACGAGGCAUUUUGGGAGCUCACUGGCUUCGGGUUCCGUAGGAACUCCGAAGUUAAGCGAGAAGGAGGCCAGAGCACUUCUAGGAUGGGUGAUCCACUUGGAAGUUGCUCGUGAGUUCCCAAAAACAAAAUCGUGAGGGAAUGGUAAGCCCAAAGCUGACAAUAUCGUGCUACAGUGGUGGAGAUGGCCCGGGAAGUGGUCCACCCCGGGCCGGGAUGUGACAUAAAAUCUAUUCAAUUCUUUUCUAAUCCAUUUUUAAACUUAUAUGGGUACAUUCUUUUUUCUUUGAUUUUAAAAUGUAUCCAUGUCAAGUUUAAUCGAAGAAAUUUACUAAUGUUAUUAAGCUUAAUUUUUUUUUGUUUGUGAUUUUGAAGAAUGUACCCAUGUUUUGAUACAAUAAAUUUUUUGGUUAAUUUUGAUGAAUGUACCCAUGUCACAACCCGUCCCGAAAUACUUUUAUCGAAGGUGUGAAAAGACUAGAAUGCCCUUGGGCGUUGAGAUGUGUUGUGUGUGACAUGGUUUUAGAAGUGGACCAAUAUAAUUAUUUUCCUAAGUUUUUGGGGCCAAUGAGAACUUAACCUUGGUUAGUUAAGUUUUUGGGGCCAAUGAGAACUUAACCUUGGUUAGUUGUGAUUGGUGUGCAGAUUGGACUACACACACAUAUCCACAUCAUUUUCUCUCUCUCUCUCUCUCCCGUACUCCCUCUCUCUCGCAGACUCUCACUCUCUCUCCCUUCUUUGUACGGACCAACCCAGAAACCCUCUCAAACCUUGUAGAUCGAAGGUUUUAAGAUCAUUAUUGUGCUCGUGAGGACCAUACGAGUUUAAAGGUACCAUUUUCAGGUAAGGAAACCCUCGAAAACCCGUGAAAGUCCUAGCUCCGAUUUGAGGUACUAUUCAUGUGGACGUAAAAUCUUAUGUUUCAGGGAAUUUUAAGGACACAUGGAGCUUUAGGAGGUCCUCACGAGGCUCAGAGUAGUUCGUUGGAAGAAAUUGGACGUCGGGAUAGUUAGUGCUCCGCCCGUGGCCAGGGCCAGCCUUCACGUGAUCGUUCACCUCCCGCACUACACUCUCACCUUGAAUCCAAGGUAGGUGCCAGCCUAUCGUACAGACCACAAUAGAUGGUUCCCGACUCGUAGGUGACCCGCGAUUUAUCGCACAGCCUUCACGUGAUUGUAGCACUUGAGCAUACAUGUUUAUUUACACCUAGCUUGUCGUACAGACCACGAGAGGUGGUUCCUGACUCGUGUGCAGGCAUAUUAGUAAUGAGAUGAUUGAGCUCUAGAUUAAGCCGUGCAGGUCACAAGAGGUGACUCCCGGCUAGAUGGGUUAUUUAUAUUGAAUUAUAGCCUCUGGCUUACAUAUGUGAUAUUGUGAUAGUAAUCAUGGCAUGAGUAUCGGACAUGGCAUAUGCAUGACAUUUAUAUUUGGAUUUUGAGAUGUUGAACAUGAAUUGAGUUAUGGAUAUUUAUAUGUUCUAUUUUAUGGGAAAAUUAUACAGGUUUUAUGGCGAGGGGUUAGAACUUUUGAGAAAGAAAUGAAUUUCAAAAACCUUGUUUUUGCCCACUCACGUUUUCUGUUUUUCGCCCCUCCAGGUUCUAGUAAGAUUGUUCGUUGGUGGCGUUGCGAAGGCUUCCAUGCAGUUCUGACAGUUUGCCUUAAUAUAUGAUCACCUGCGGGUGUUGGCUAAUUAGUACUUAUUGCUUGACUGCACUUAGGUUUUAUGCUCUAUAUAAGUGUAAUUCACUCUUAAACUCGCACUAGCACAUUAUCUUAGUUAGUGCUGCUAGUGGUUCGGUUUUUAAUUAUUCAGAAUUUCAUAUCUUUAUUGCUUCCGCACUGUGCACAUGUCUUACGUCACUCUCACGUGACGGCCAGCACGUCCUGAUUCAGGUCGAGGUGUGUCAACCCAUGUUUAUACACACACACACACACACAAUAGUAUAUUUAUAUUUUAAUAUUUUUAAUCCCACAAAUUAUGGUUUUUUUAUUUAAAAUCUCAUUUAUAUAAAUAACUAAAAUUUCUAAUUUUUAUUUUAAAAAAUACAGUAACGUACAUAGAAAUAAAUUAUCACAUUAAUUUCAGGAACCUCGAUCAAAAAUUAAAAACCAAUAAGGUUUCAAUAAAAGAAUAUUCAUAACUAAGGACCGCAUCCAAAGUCUCCCUUUAUAUAAUCCCAUAUAUAAACAGUCCCAUUUUUAAGAUAAUUUUUUCAAUAUUUCUCCAAAUAUUAUUAGCCGAACGUAUCCAUCUAUAUGAUCGAUCCAUCCACCAAGAUCAGAAAUAAAGAUAUAUUUAUGUGGCCGGCCAUCUCGACAUUUUUUAAUUAAAAUAUAAUUGUCAAAGUGGGAAAGGGUGACUAACGACUCACGAACGAGACCAGGCCAGGCCACCACCACUUCCUCUUCGUCCCCUCUUGUCUUGUGCUUCAGUUCCCAGUUCCCUCCCUCCCACUCUCAUCAAUCUAGCAAAGUAUGCAUAAUUAAUUAGUAAACAUGGCAUUAUUAUAUGUAUAGCAACUUGCAUUAAAACGAUAGUUAUUAUUUAAAAAAAUUAGUAUUCGGUCACUAGUUAAUAAUGUUCAUUAACUGAGGUAUAAUUAUUUUUCAGAUUUUGAUCGAAAUCCCAAGCUUUAAUGUUUAAUGAAUAUAGAUGUCAUUUACGUAAUUUUUUAGAAUAUAUAUUAGUAAUAAUUUAAAAUUUUAAUACUCACAGCCUUAUUAAACUCCUAAUUAAUUUUCAAUUCAAAACAUUUCCAAAAUAAAAAAGAUAAAAUGAUCUUAACUUAAUUAGAGAGACAGACCAUUAGUUCACUCCAAAACAUCAAUAUUAUCUUAACUUAAUCAUCAAUUUCUAAGUAUUAAAUUUCAGGAUAAUAUGGGACUAAAUGUCAUUAACAAUAAACUUUAUUAGAAGUCGAACCGUGGACUUACGGGACUAUAUUCUAUUUUCUUAAUAUGGGACUACAUGUUAAAGGAGAAGCUUGAAGCUUUAACAAUGGAGGAUUUCGCACUUAGAGAGAGAAAGAGAUUACAGGAGUUUUAGAGAAAAACUGAGAAAGUAAUUUUGUAUAUUUCAUUUCACUUAGAAUUGCUUACACACUAUCUCUUUAUAUACUCUUCACAUUCCUUACAAAUUAAGCAAACUCAUAACAAACUCAUCAACUUAAUCUAUUGACACUUGACUGCACAUCAACCAUUGGAUUGACCCUGUGCCUUUAUACCUUUACAUCCCUCAUCAAUCUCAUGCUUACUAGAACUAAGCAUGAGAUUGGAACAAUGAUCUUGAAACAGAGAAGUAGACAACCCUUUAGUUAAAAUGUCUGCAAACUGCUCCUUGGAAGAGACAUGUUGUACACCCAAGUCACCUUUGAUAACUCUCUCCCGGACAAAGUGGUAGUCAAUUUCAAUAUGCUUCACCCGUGAAUGAAAGACUGGGUUAGAGGAUAGGGCGAUAGCAGAAAUAUUGUCACAAAAUAACAUGGGAGCAUCAUAUAAAGGAACAUGAAGAUCACACAGAAGUUGACGUAUCCAAGAGACUUCGACUGCAGUGAUGGCAAGUGCUCGAUAUUCUGCCUCAGUAGAGGACCGAGACACAGUAUGUUGUUUCUUGGAGGCCUAAGAAAUAGGUGUAUUACCCAAAUAAACAAUAUAGCCGGAUGUGGAUCGACGAUCAUUGGGAUCCCCUGCCCAAUCUGCAUCGCUAUAGGCUUGAAGUUGUAAUUUGCCAGGAGUAAAAUGAAUGCCAUAGUCAAGAGUGCCACUGAGAUACCUCAAAAUCUGUUUCACCGCAACAACAUGAAUAUCCAGAGGGUUGUGCAUAAAUUGACAACAUUGGUUAACAGCAAAUGCAAUAUCAGGCCUAGUGAAGGUCAAAUACUGCAAUGCACCAACAAUGCUGCGAUAGUGUUCGAGACUAUGGUAAGGUGAACCAUCUGUCUUAGAUAGCCUGUGAUAAGGAAGGCAUGGUGUGGCACAUGACUUGGCAUCUUGCAUAUCAACCUUGGCGAGAAGAUCUUGAAUAUAUUUGGUCUGAGAGACAAACAAACAUGUGUUCUUGUAAGUGAUCUGCAAGCCUAAGAAGUAAUGUAAAAUGCCCAAGUCCUUCAUAUCAAACUCUUGUGUCAGAGCUAAAAUGACUUUAGACAUAAGAGAUGGAUUGCUGCCAGUAAGGAUGAUAUCAUCCACAUAGAGUAAGAGAAUCACAAUACCAUUGGAAGUUUGCUGGACAAACAAUGAAGGAUCGGCAAAAGAGGCUUUGAAGCCUAAGCUCGGUAAGAAGCUUGUAAACUUCUCAUUCCAUGCCCGAGGAGCCUGUUUAAGACCAUACAAGGACUUCUUGAGUUUACAAACAUAAUUUGAAGGAUGAGAGGAACAGACAAAACCAGGAGGUUGACUCAUAUAGACCUCUUCGAGAAGAUCUCCAUGUAAAAAAGCAUUUUGAACAUCCAACUGUCUCAAACUCCAGUUAAACUGAGCUGCAAGUGCUAAGAUUAAUCGGACAGUAGUAGGCUUAACCACGGGACUAAAAGUUUCAGUAUAAUCGAUGUCUUCCUCUUGACUAUACCCUUUAGCCACAAAACGAGCUUUAUACCGUGCUAUAGACCCAUCUGGAUUCCUCUUAAGCUUGUACACCCAUUUGCAUCCAACUAAGUUUUUGCCAAUAGGAAGAGGAACAAAAGUCCAGGUCUUCUGAGCAUUCAAAGCAUUUAUCUCAUCUUGCAUGGCAGCAUGCCAUUCUGAGACUUGACUAGCUGACUUGAAAGAAACCGGUUCCAUAACAGGCACAAGUAAGGAUGAAACAAAAGCUAAGAAAGUUUUUUUCUUAGAAAUCCCACUUUUGGAUCUUGUUUGCAUGGGGUGUAAGCUCACAGAGGGUACAGGCAGAACCACACUUAGACGUUCUUGUUGGAAAUCAGGAUCCAUAAGGAUUGGAGACUGUGUAGGUGCAAGAUGAGCUAACAGGGAUGAUGGUGUCUCUUGUGGAGAAAUAACAGGUAUAGGGGCAGGUAUAGGGUUGGUGGAAGAAGCCAAACACUUUGGAGCUAUAGUUGGAGAUGCCAAAGACUCUGAAGCACUAGGGGUUAUAGAAGAAAACUCUGAAGCUCUAGGGGUUAAAUGCACUGAUGUAGAUGAUGGUGGAAAUGAUGAUAAUGUGUGUGAUUCAAUAACAUUGUGAAGUGUAACUGAUGGUGGUACAAUUAAAGAAGGCGUGCUAAGUGAUGGUGUAACCUGAGACUUAGAAAUAAGAUCCAAAUAAGGAUAAGUAUGCUCAUAAAAAAGAACAUGUCUUGACACGUGAAAUUUGCUAGUAAUGGGAUUAAAACAAAUAUACCCUUUAUAUUGACCAGCAUAUCCCAGAAAUAUGCACUGUGCAGUCUUGGGUUGGAAUUUGGAAGUGUUGUAGGGUUUCAAGAGAGGAAAAUAACUACAUCCAAAAACCUUUAAAUGUGUUAACACUGGGGGUUUUUGAAACAGACAAGUGUAUGGAGACUUCAUGGUUAAAACCUGACAUGGCAUUCUGUUUAUUAAGUAGAUAGAAACUGCACAAGCAUGAAACCAAAACUGUGAAGGCAAAUGAGCUUUUUGAAGAAGAGUAAGUGCAGUUUCAACAAUAUGCCGAUGCUUGCGUUCAACAAGACCGUUUUGCUCAGGUGUGUGUGGACAAGACUUGUGAUGCAAAAUGCCUUUUGUUAACAGAAACUGUUUGAACUUGUUACUGGUGUAUUCACCAUCACCAUCGCUUUGGAAAAUUUUAAUGGCAGUGGAAAAUUGAGUUUGUACAAAAGAAUGAAACUGCAUAAAGGUAUGAAACACAUAACUUUUAUUCAUUAAAGGAAAUAUCCAGGUAAACCUGGUACAUUCAUCUAUGAAAAGUACAUAGAAUUUGAAACCCUCAAUGGACAAAGUAGGUGAUGGUUCCCACACAUCACUAUGUAUAACCUCAAAGGGUUUUACAUUUUUAUUUGCAGGGUAUGAAAAAGGAAGUUUAGUAAAUUUUCCUUGCAAACAAGAGAUACACACAUGUUUAGAAGGAUCCACAGAAAAAGGAACCUGAGAUUGAUGCAACAUGUGAGAAACAACAAAAUUAGAUGGAUAGCCUAAUCUGUUGUGCCACAAAUUUGUGUUCACUUGAUGACCAAGGUAACAAUGCUGCUGUUUGUGUGAGUGAGGUGUCUUUAAUGCUUGAUUGACAAUGGAUUAUGGUAUGUAUAAUGGAAUUAGAUAUAGGCCAGCUCUACACAGUCCAUGAAGAAGAACUUUCCCUGUGAUCUUGUCUUGAAUCCAGAAAGAGAACUCGUCACAUAUGAACCUACAUUUGUUAUCUUUACAGAGCCGAUAAAUAGACAACAAAUGUUGAGAUAAUUUUGGCACAUGCAGGAUUUUCUUUAGUUGAAAAGCAUGUUUUGGAGUAUGCAAAACAGAAGAACCAGUGUGAGAUAUGGGCAAACCUGCACCACUUGCAGUGGUUAUAGUAUCCGUGCCAAUGAAUAGAGUGGCAAGAGUAAGAUUGGACAAGUCAGACGUCAUGUGGGAUGUAGCACCCAUAUCAGCAACCCAGAAUUGCUCUUGAGGGGCAGAUGGUUGAUAGGUAGCAUGCAUUGCAGUAAUAGAGGAUGGUGGAGAUCUUCCUUGGUAUGAAAAAUUGGUUCUGUGGUAACAUUGCAUUGCAGAAUGACCAAAUUUCCAACAAAUUUAGCAUUGCACUGGAGAUGAUGAAACAGUGGUAGAAGAAUGUCUCUGGAAGUAAUCAGCAGCAAUAUGACCUCUUUUGUUUCAUAUUUGACACACAGGUAUGUCAUUGCUAUGCUCAGGGCAAGUGGAAACAUGUGGUCUCACAGGACCAAGUAUGCCAGGACUGUUAUUAGGACUGUUACCCAAGAACCUAGAAUUAUUACCAAAGUGGGUUCUGCCUCUUGCUCUUCCUCUGAGAUUUGGUCCUCUAUAACCUCCAGAAUUAUUGUGAUAGAACCACCAGAAUUGUUGUUAUAAGAUCCACAAAACCAAGAAUACCAUGAUUUUCAAGAAGCAAUCGCAUUUGAUAAUGCCAGACUAAGUAAUUCGUAUCAUCUAAUUUGACCGUCACAGAGACCGACACAUUAGGAAUCAAGUGCAUAAUUGGAGACUGAACUAUCUGAAGUUGGGCAGUAGUCACCAUACUUUUGAAAUUCUUAUAGAAACAGGAGAAAUCUUGAAGAAAUUGAGAGAUUCUUGAAGAAAUUGAGAAGGUAGGGUUUGCGAUCAAAUGCAUUGCACUUUUCAGAACAGAGAUCCAAGAUUGUAGAAGAAGAAAUUCACAGAUACCAUCAUUCACACAUAUCAUCAAACAGGUCAUGUGCAAGAAACACAACCGACUUGUAGAUUAUAAUUCACCAUAUCAGAGAGGAUCGAAGAAAGAAAAUGACAUACCACGGAUUCAGGGAAGUAGUUGAGAAGAGAAGAUUGAAGAUAGCGGAAGCAACACUUGAUCAGGAUCGAUAAACGCCAUCUGUUCCCGGCGAGGAUACCAUGUUAAAGGAGAAGCUUGAAGCUUUAACAAUGAAGGAUUUCACACUUAAGAGAAAGAGAUUACAGGAGUGUUAGAGAGAAACUGAGAAAGUAAUUUUGUAUAUUUCAUUUCACUUAGAAUUGCUUACACACUAUCUCUUUAUAUACUCUUCACAUUCCUUACAGAUUAAGCAAACUCAUAACAAACUCAUCAACUUAAUCUAUUGACACUUGGCUGCACAUCAACCAUUGGAUUGACCCUGUGCCUUUAUACCUUUACACUACAUUCAACAGCAAUUCCCAUUCCAAAUCGCUCAUACCGCUCUCCUCGGCUCCGCCCGCCUAUAUAAAGAGAGGGAGAGAGAGAGACAGCUGGUAAAAUGAGAUAAGGAAGAGAAAUAAGCAGCAAUCCAUCAAUGGCGGCGAGUACAGAGGAAGUGAUCAGCAACAAGCAGGUGCUACUGAAAGACUAUGUGACCGGCUUCCCCAAAGAAUCUGACAUGCAACUCACCGCCGCCACCACCAAGCUCAAGCUUCCAGAAGGUUCAAAAGGGGUUCUGGUGAAGAACCUCUACUUGUCCUGCGACCCUUAUAUUAGAAACCGCAUGACCAAGCGUGAACCUGGCGCCAGUUUUAUGGAUUCCUUCAAACCCGGUUCGGUCAGUCACUAUAUGUGCCCUUUCCCUUUUGUUCAAGUUUGAAAGUUCGCUUCCUUAUGAUCUAUCAUGUAAUAUUAGUAUUGAAUAAUGUGACCGAGUAGCCCAAGUACUAAUCUUGUUGGACAGAUAGCCUCGUUUUUCGGAUUACAAUUUGUUGAUGUUUGGGAUGAUUUAAUAAUUUACAGUUUGAGACAACUUAGGUAUUCGCUGUUGUACUAUCUCUUUAUUUACCGUUAGAUAUUGAAAUUUGAAAUGAUGUGGCAGCCUAUAGUCGGAUAUGGAGUUGCCAAAGUUUUGGAAUCCGGAGAUCCCAAGUUUAAGCAAGGCGACUUCAUUUGGGGAAUAACCGGGUGGGAAGAGUACAGUGUUAUCACUGCAACGGAGUCUUUGUUUAAGAUUCAGCACACUGAUGUGCCUCUCUCUUACUAUACUGGUAUUCUUGGUAUGUUGCUGUGUAUUGGCUAUUGCUAUUUCCUUUGCCUUGGGAUUUAUUUCAUUUAAAAAUUUGUUCUGCCACAAGGAUCCAGCCUAUCUCAAGUCUUGUAUCUCUAGUUGUAUUCUGCCUCCAGUGACCUCUAUCAUACUAAAAAUGUGAACUGAUUUGUUGAUUCUCACGGCUCUUUGUAAACUAUAUCUUCACAAACCAAUGCAACAUAUUCCUUUUCAUAAUAGCAUUUUGAUUUGGAAGUACGGAAAUGAUUUAGCUUACAUAAUCAAUUGGUCCUAUGCAUUUGUAGCAUUGUUCUUUGAUUGUAUGCAAUUGCUGAAGUGAUCCAUCCUUAAUAAUUCAACCAAAUAUUUAGUUUUAUGGGUUUGUAAUGCAUGAUAUAUUUACUUGAUGCUACGCUCAUCUAAUGUAUUCAUUUUAUAUAGGUAUGCCUGGAAUGACUGCUUAUGCUGGUUUUUAUGAGGUCUGCAAUCCUAAGAAGGGAGAGACGGUCUUCGUUUCAGCAGCAUCUGGGGCGGUAGGUCAGCUUGUUGGCCAAUUGCAAAGUCGUUGGGUUGCUAUGUUGUUGGAAGUGCUGGAAGCAAAGAAAAGGUCAGUUAUUGCAAAUUUAGUGGUCGAUUGCAACUAUAUCUUAGAUGGCAUUUCUGUGAUUGUGAUUCAAUCGGAUGAUUAUUCUUGGUUUAGAAACAUGUAUUAAGUGAUGUAUGCCAAAUUGGCAACAGAGAAAUUUUGACUAAUCGAAAUGGGGAAAAUUAUGAGAACUUAUUGGAAUGUACAGAUAUUGGUGACCCUUUAUCUUCAUAAUCAAGUGCGUAAAAUUCAGCUUUGACCUGUUUUCAACCUCCUGCCUCAUUUAGUUGGCAAAUUGUUCGUAUCAUAUGAUACCGCAAGCAUAUGCUACUUAGUAAAUUACAGAGAAAUGUGCAUCUAUGAGCUUUUUUGGUCUCAUUCCUACAGUUUUCCGUAUUUCAAAUGACAAUGUUUUAACCAUUCUUGCUGUAUUUUAACAUGUUAUAUCAUUUCUGAGGUUAGGUUGAUCUGCUGAAGAACAAGUUUGGGUUUGACAAAGCUUUCAAUUAUAAAGAAGAGCCUGAUUUGGAUGCAGCUUUAAAAAGGUCAGUAUUUAUAUGUUGAUCAGAAUCAAACUAUUAUUUUAAAGCUUUUACAUGUGUCUUUAAUUACGAGGGGAAAGUCCAAUAAAGGCAUUAGCAAUCUCUAAAGUCAUGCUUUAGUGAUUUUAGUCCCCAAUUUCCUAAAACAGAGAAAAAGUAAGUUGAAAUGUGACGGUGGGAGCAUGUGGCUGUUGAAGAGAUACUCACGUCUUUGUCCUCUUUGUAGAUAUAUUCCAUGGUUUUCGGUGUUUGCUUAUGGUCUAAAUAUGUGAUUUGCUUACCAGAUACUUUCCUGAAGGCAUCGACAUAUACUUUUGAAAACGUUGGGGGAAAAAAUGCUUGAUGCAGUGCUACAAAACAUGAGGCUCCAUGGCCGGAUUGCAGUUUGUGGGAUGGUCUCGCAGUAUAACCUUGACCAGCCUGAAGGUUGUCACAAUUUAAUGUAUCUGAUCAUUAAACAGAUUCGCAUGCAAGGUUUCGGGGUUUCUAGUUACUACCACCUUUACGGAAGUUUCUUGAAAUGGUUCUGCCGGCCAUAAAAGAAGGGAAGAUAACUUAUGUGGAAGAUGUAGUGGAAGGCCUUGAGAGCGCUCCAGCUGCUCUGAUAGGGCUCUUUGCCGGCCGCAAUGUGGGAAAGCAGGUGGUGGUAGUUUCCCGAGAAUGAUUUCAUUAGGCUCUCCAUGGCUCCGAAGUCUCAACCUUUAGCUAUAUGGUAUAGGGUAUAAUCGUCUACUAUGAAAUGCAAAUGCUUUCUUAUGCAUUUACAAGUUUAUCUCUCUACAGGUUUGUGGCAAGCUUAUUAUCCCGACGAGGACUGUGCUUGAUCCCUCAUCUUAAUUCUAAAUAAAUGUCUUGAUUUGCUUAAUAAUAUCAAGCACUAAGUCUAGUAGAUCUUUCAAUUAUGUUUUCUUUUUUUUCCAACCUGACCCGCUUUGUCAACUGGUUGACGUGGUGUUUAUGGUGAAUAAACCAAACACAGCGUUAAGCUAAAAGAUAACGCGAACACAAUCUGUUAAAGUGGUCCACCUUUUAUCAACAUGACAUGUUAAUGCUCAAUCAAAAUUCAAAUUUUUGCCCGUGUUUGUGCUGUGUCAUAGGAAGUAAUACUAGGUAAACCAAAUUUGCAAACUAAAUAAUGUGUCAUCAAUAAGAAAUAACAUCAUUUUUAAUAAACAAUAGGAUAUAUGGAAAAACUUUUUUAACGUGUGCUGUCUUUUGUUUUUUAAGAAGAAAAAACAAGAAGGAAACCGUGUCUGGUUAAAAGAUGGACGAUCAGCAUUGGAAUCCAAAACUUAUUGGUGAUAGAACUUAUUAAUUCCUAACUGAAAAAAAAUGGAGUGUCGAUUUCUCUUUCGAAUUGGACUUCUAUUAAAUGAGACGAAACUAAUUAAGAGAGAAAAUGAAGAAGCUAAUAAAGAAGCUUUGAAUUGCUUUUGGAAUUGCUUUUCAAAUUGCCUGCCAUUUCAUUCACAACUUCACGUAUUUAUAUAUUUCUAUAAUCUAAUAGUAGCUUUCUUAAAAUAAUAAUUAGGUUAUACCAUAAACAUUGAGGGAUGUGAUAUCCACACACCCAUUUUUAUUUCUUCCAUAUUUUUUUGGUUUUUAACCGUCUGAUCGGAUGAAUUGAAUAAGAUCAACAGACAAAAAUUAACAAAAAGCCUAUAAAAAGUAAAAAUAAGUGUGUGGAUAGCACACUCCAACAUUGAAUUGUUAGAAAGCUUGACUAAUACAAACCUUCCACUAUAUGUGGUGUUUCAAACGUAUUAGUUUAAAACCACCAAUAAAUAAAGAAUAGUAUUUGUAAUUAUCAUCGGUGUUUGUAAUCAACUAUUAUAAUUUAAUAUUGCCAAAGUACCUGUGGGCUCAUGAAUCAAUUAUUAUGGUUUAAUAUUUCCAAGGAUCCUCAUGAAUCAUUGUUUUUUUCCAUCUGACCGGAACACAAAUAGUAUACCAUGUGUUUUUAUACAAGUGGUAGAAAAUUGUAUUUUUUAAGUUAUUAACUUUUUAACACACAUAUCUCACAAUUUGUAUAAUGACACGUGGUACACCACCUCUUGUUCCCGUCACACUGGAAUUUCCCAUUUAAGAACCUUAAGCUCCUGCUCAAUUUAGGAAAGGGAUCAUCUAUGGUUCCCUUUCCACCAAAUCCAUCUAGUUUGAGAUCUGAGUUGUUGGAUUUGAUCCAACGGCUACAAACAGGAGAACCUUUUAAAAGUUAUAAUAAUCCAACGACCCAGAUCCCGAACUAGGUGAAUUUGGUAGAAAAAGAUCUGAAGAUGAUCCCUUUCCUUCAAGUUAAUUCAUGAAAUGAGGAAAUUCUAUUUCUGCCUUGUCUCGUCCAUACCACUUUCAUUUGUCUUGAACAAUAAAAAUACAUGACGUAUAAAAAAUAAGGUCCAUACAAAUUGGAUCAAACUACAAGGCAAAACAAGAUGUAAUCCAGCCUAUCAAAAAUGAGGAUGGGCUUUACGUACAUCCAUAAAUAAAAUAAAAUAAAAGAUGCAUUUCCCUACAAAAGAGGGAAGAAACAUACAAAAUCAGCGGCUCCCCCAUUUUCUACAACAAAAAGAAAAGUGGAGUCAGUUUAAGAGAAAGUGGCGAAAAGAAAGGCCUCUAUCCUCCCCCACGUAAGAACUCUGGAAACCACAGCAAAAAAAGGAGGACGAAAAAAAGAGGGAGACGCCGCAGAAAUUGAAGCACACGGGGGACAGAAAAAAGGAAGGGGAGACGCUGCAGAAAAGAGGGAGAUCGACAAAAAAAAAAGGACGAUAGAGAAGAGCACAAAGGAACAAAAAAAGGAAGAAGAGCAGGACACGGAGAAGACAGCAGAGAAGUACGGACAACAAAGAAGAACAACGCAAGAAAGCAAGGGAGAAACAUAAGGAAAAAGAAACAAAAAAAAAGAAACAGCCAAGAGCAGGAAGGUAUAAAUUUAUUUUAAAUUUGUUCUUUGUUGUUUUGUUUCCUCUCGACUUUUGCAGGAGAGAAAGAAGAAAUUUGCUUUCUUCUUCAUCUUUCACCAAAAGGGGAGAAUAAGGCUUGCUAUCGACUUCCUUUGAAAAGGCCAUCUCGUGAAAGACAAAAGGGGAAGGCCAUGGGAUCCUAACCUUUCUCAAAAUUUAUUGGGCAAGGCAUUACAAAAGAAGGAAAUGUUGCUGCCGCUUCAUCCUUCGAAAAAUAUUCCAGGAAAAAGAAGAUAGUUUUAUUCAUCAUGUAAAGUGUUGCAGCAAGCUACUAGGUGGAAAAGUCAAAAGAAAAAAGAUGUUUUCCUACUAUUAGAAAAGUCCUAACAAAGGUACACCUACAAUAAAGAGGCUAUUGGCUCUACAAAGAAACAAGACAAAAAUAUGGGCAAGUGUGUUGGGAGGAAAUCAAAGCUCCCUAACCCUUUCACGUGAUGAAGAGCAAAACAAGUUGGGAAUCCAUGCAGGUGGUUCUCUAGAAAAAGGGACAAGUUUGCUACAGAACAAAAAUUUGCCAAAGAACAAUUGAUAUAGGAUUUGAACCCCACCAAAGGAAAGUUGCGGCAAAGAGAAGAAAAAAUAAAAAGAAGGGUGGAUAAAGCUUCCUGAAAAUCACGAACCCACGUGGGAAGUUGUGAAAACUUAAAAGCAUGAAAAAAAAGUAAGCUGUUUUUGUGAAGGUUUGAAAAUUCAAAGUAGGUUCAAAAGAAAAGUAUGCAUCUCACGUGGGGAAGAAGUGUGGUUAUUGAAAUGGGAAGUCAAAUUAUUGAAAUUGGAAGACAAGUCCUAUUGGAACUUGGAAAGCUCCGAAGCCACAUCAAAAUUCAAAUGGCAUGAAGCCACCAAAUCCAAACAAAGUAACAAAUUUUUAACGAACUACGCCGGUUUGAUUCUGUUAAAGAUACGUAGGCAGUCUAAUAUCAAGUUUUAGACGCAACCGUGAAACCGAAACAAAUCUCUGGUUUAUAUAUACUAAAUUCACUCCUACCAUCAAAUACCAAAAUGGCACGAAGCCGAAGAAAAGUUUCAAAGGGCACGAAGCCGUAUCAAAGUCUCAAAUGGCAUGAAGCCAUAUCAAAUUUUCAAAUGCUCCUCGCCCGCAUGAGUUGAAAUUGCAUAAGGCACUAUGCUCCUCGCCCGCACGAGCUAAAACUGCACAAGGCAUCAAAACGCUCCAAUGGCUUAAAGUUCUCGCCCGUACGAGCUGAAACUGCACGAGGCAUCAAGACCCAAACACCAUGAACUACGAGUGACUUGAUCUCUCAAGAGGGUACGUAGGCAAUCUAGGGUUCGACCUAGGUGCAGUCACAAAAUCAAACAAACAUCAAAAUCCUCAAGUUACAUUUUAUUCGAAAUAAAAUCAAAGGGCAUUUCUUUCCCAAAAGAAGGGUUGUAAUUAAUAGGCGCAUAGCCUAGAAUGGGUUGAACUCAAAUUCAUAAAACCCUCUUCGAAAAAAUGAACGAAGGUGAAAUUGUGUCGAGUGAAUUAUUUGUUUACAUAUUAUGUACAAUUUUUGCUCAACAUAAUUUUGAGAACAAGAAGUAUGGAGACCAUGUCCUCAAAAGCCUGUCCUUCAUAAGAUCACCAAAGAAUUUGACACGUUACUGCUGCUCCAUUCUUUGAAGACAUUCUAGAAAAAAGAGGAACAAAGAAAUAGUUUUGUUCAUCACGUGGGAAUCUGCUCAUAUAAAGGAAAAGUAAGGUCGAUUGAAAUUAGAAGUCCCAUUGGAAUUGGAGACCUUUAAAGUUAAAUAAAGAAGUGUAAAGCUUGAUGUCAGAUUGGUCGUAAGUUUAGGUCUGAUGGGUUCGAAAUCACAUGUUUAAAUAGGUUUGAAAAGUUCAAAGAAGAAUAUAAAACGAGAGAGGGGAAAUGCUAACUGAAAUCAGCAACUCAUAUGGAAAAUUGCCCACGUGAAGAAGAAGAGGAAAGCUUUAAAGUCACACCAAAAAAAAGAGAAGGAUGCUUCCAUCAAAAAAAUAAACAACAAAGAACCCCGUCGCAGCCGUCGAGUGAAGAAAAAAAGGAAAAAAGGUUGUUGACGAUGAGAGGAAAGGGUGGCAAAGUUACAUUCGAACAAGUUUAAUUCACAAAAAAGGGGAGAAUAAGGCUUGCUAUCGACUUCCUUUGAGAAGACAUUCUCGUGAAAGACAAAAGGGGAAGGCCAUGGGAUCCUAACCUUUCUCAAAAUUUAUUGGGCAAGGCAUUACAAAAGAAGGAAAUGUUGCUGCCGCUUCAUCCUUCGAAAAAUGUUCCAGGAAAAAGAAGAUAGUUUUAUUCAUCAUGUAAAGUGUUGCAGCAAGCUUCUAGGUGGAAAAGGAAAAGUCAAAAGAAAAAAAGAUGAUUAGAAAAGUCCUAACAAAGGUACACCUACAAUAAAGAGGCUAUUGGCUCUACAAAAAAACAAGACAAAAAUAUGGGCAAGUGUGCUGGGAGGAAAUCAAAGCUCCCUAACCCUUUCACGUGAUGAAGAGCAAAACAAGUUGGGAAUCCAUGCAGGUGGUUCUCUAGAAAAAGGGACAAGUUUGCUACAGAACAAAAAUUUGCCAAAGAACAAUUGAUAUAGGAUUUGAACCCCCCCACCAAAGGAAAGUUGCGGCAAAGAGAAGAAAAAAUAAAAAGAAGGGUGGAUAAAGCUUCUUGAAAAUCACGAACCCACGUGGGAAGUUGUGAAAACUUAAAGGGAACUUUAACGAAAAGCUCCCGGUACUGUUCACUUUAAUGAAAAACCACAUUUUUACACUAAAAAGUCAAUCCUGGUACUAUACACUUUACCCUUUAUUUUGUCCUUAUCAUUAAAACUCAAAGUUUUCAAGCCCUUUUCAUUAGUUUUCCUAAACUUAAAAGCAUGAAAAAAGUAAAGCUUGUUUUGUGAAGGUUUGAAAAUUCAAAGUAGGUUCAAAAGAAAAGUAUGCAUCUCACGUGGGGAAGAAGUGUGGUUAUUGAAAUGGGAAGUCAAAUUAUUGAAAUUGGAAGACAAGUCCUAUUGGAACUUGGAAAGCUCCGAAGCCACAUCAAAAUUCAAAUGGCAUGAAGCCACACCAAAUCCAAACAAAGUAACAAAUUUUUAACGAACUACGCCGGUUUGAUUCUGUUAAAGAUACGUAGGCAGUCUAAUAUCAAGUUUUAGACGCAACCGUGAAACCGAAACGAAUCUCUGGUUUAUAUAAACUAAAUUCACUCCUACCAUCAAAUACCAAAAUAGCACGAAGCCAAAGAAAAGUUUCAAAGGGCACGAAGCCGUAUCAAAGUCUCAAAUGGCAUGAAGCCAUAUCAAAUUUUCAAAUGCUCAUCGCCCGCAUGAGCUGAAACUGCAUAAGGCACUAUGCUCCUCGCCCGCAUGAGCUAAAACUGCACAAGGCAUCAAAACGCUCCAAUGGCUUAAAGUUCUCGCCCGCACGAGCUGAAACUGCACGAGGCAUCAAGACCCAAACACCAUGAACUACGAGUGACUUGAUCCCUCAAGAGGGUACGUAGGCAAUCUAGGGUUCGACCUAGGUGCAGUCACAAAAUCAAACAAACAUCAAAAUCCUCAAGUUACAUUUUAUUCGAAUUGGAAUCAAAGGGUAUUCUUUUCCCAAAAGAAUGGUUGUAAUUAAUAGGCGCAUAGCCUAGAAUGGGUCGAACUCGAAUUCAUAAAACCCUCUUCAGAAAAAUGAACGAGGGUGAAAUUGUGUCCAGUAAAUUGUUAGUUUACAUAUUAUGUACAAUUUGUGCUCAACAAUUUGCAAGAAAGUUGUCUUUUCUUGCCAAUGCAAAAAUUUUAAUACUUCCAAUGUCUUGUUUCAUUCAUGGACCUUUUGCUCCAAGAUAAUGUCGUCUCUCAAGCAUCUUCUUGCUCCGUCCUUAAGUCAUCAACUGAAGGGAGACGAGUGUCUUCGUCAGGAUCAUCAUCCAACAGAGAUGGUUCAAAGAGCUUCAAAUUCUCGGCAUUGAUAAUUGAGUACAUAACCAUGCACUGUGGUACAUCGAGUUGGAAGACAUUAUCACCAGUUUGUUUGAUGAUUUUGAACGGUCCAUAACUGAUAGCCUUGCGUUUUUUUCCUUCUCCUUGUAACCGCUCCUUACCAAGGUGUAAUCAUAUUAUGUCGCCUUUUCUUUGAAGUUGCAUGACAAACGAUGCUUGUCAUGACGACCUUUUAUAUCGCUAUUGAGAUUGUUGCAGUCGUGCGUCCACUUCAGGAUGAAUCUUUUUAAUUCGUUCAAUCAAAAUGUGUUUAGGUGCGUUGAUGGGAAGCGGCACCAUCCUCUCUAGUUCGAGCGACUCCUCAACAAUGGAAUAUUGUGAGUGGAUCCCUUCUUAAAUUGCAUGUUUUUAUAAAUUAUUAGGCUUGCAUGCAUUGCAUAUUUUGUGUUUUAUAUUAUGUUUUACGGAUUUCCAUAUUUAUGAAUUAUUUAAAUUGUUUUUACGAAAUAUUUAUGAUUUAUCGAGUUUGCGUUUUAUUAAAGGUUAUGAAUUAUUGGAUUCUCGUAUAUGCAAUUCUAUUUUCAAAUAUGGAAUCUACGGAUUUAUGAAUAUGCGUUAUCAUGGAUUUAUGAAACAAGGCUUUGAGCUUGUGAGCUUCGGAUUUGAUAUGAGUUUUUGAGGUAUGUUUUUUGUGCUUAUCUAUCAUACAUCACAUCCACACAACAUUGGUAUGAAGACGUCUAUGGCCAUAGGACACUAUUGAGAAGAUUUAUGAUAUACCCCUAGCUUUACUGGCGAAACCAGUAUCGAACAGCUUCACUAGCCACGGCUAGUGUCGGUGUGUGAUGUUAUAUAUUUAUUCUCUGGCAUAACCUAGAGUUGUACAGCUUCACAUUUGGGUGAUGGGGCUUACCAUGUUUCUUCAUUGGCGCAACCUAGUGUUGUACAGCUUCACCUUCGGGUAAUGGACAUGUAUUGCCUUCGGGUGAUUAUGAUACCCCUAGAGAGACAUACCAAAAUAAAAAGGAUAAAAUUAUUUUAACUUAAUUAGAGAGACAGACCAUUAGUUCACUCCAAAACAUCAAUAUUAUCUUAACUUAAUCAUCAAUUUCUAAGUAUUAAAUUUCAGGAUAAUAUGGGACUAAAUGUCAUUGACAAUAAACUUUAUUAGAAGUCGAACCGUAGACUUAUGGGACUAUAUUCUAUUUUCUUAAUAUGGGACUACAUUCAACACCAAUUCCCAUUCCAUAUCGCUCAUACCGCUCUCCUCGGCUCCGCCCGCCUAUACAGAGAGAGGGAGAGAGAGAGACAGCUGGUAAAAAGAGAUAAGGAAGAGAAAUAAGCAGCAAUCCAUCAAUGGCGGCGAGUACAGAGGAAGUGAUCAGCAACAAGCAGGUGCUACUGAAAGACUAUGUGACCGGCUUCCCCAAAGAAUCUGACAUGCAACUCACCGCCGCCACCACCAAGCUCAAGCUUCCAGAAGGUUCAAAAGGGGUUCUGGUGAAGAACCUCUACUUGUCCUGCGACCCUUAUAUUAGAAACCGCAUGACCAAGCGUGAACCUGGCCCCAGUUUUACGGAUUCCUUCAAACCCGGUUCGGUCAGUCACCAUAUGUGCCCUUUCCCUUUUGUUCAAGUUUGAAAGUUCGCUUCCUUAUGAUCUAUCAUGUAAUAUUAGUAUUGAAUAAUGUGACCGAGUAGCCCAAGUACUAAUCUUGUUGGACAGAUAGCCUCGUUUUUCGGAUUACAAUUUGUUGAUGUUUGGGAUGAUUUAAUGAUUUACAGUUUGAGACAACUUAGGUAUUCGAUGUUGUACUAUCUCUUUAUUUACCGUUAGAUAUUGAAAUUUGAAAUGAUGUGGCAGCCUAUAGUCGGAUAUGGAGUUGCCAAAGUUUUGGAAUCCGGAGAUCCCAAGUUUAAGCAAGGCGACUUCAUUUGGGGAAUAACCGGGUGGGAAGAGUACAGUGUUAUCACUGCAACAGAGUCUUUGUUUAAGAUUCAGCACACUGAUGUGCCUCUCUCUUACUAUACUGGAAUUCUUGGUAUGCUACUAUAUAUUAGCUAUUGCUAUUUCCCUCGCGUUCGGAUUUAUUUCAUUUAAAAAUUUGUUCUGCCACAAGGAUCUAGCCUAUCUCAACUCUUGUAUCUAUUAUGAUGGUACCCGUUGAAUGAAAUUUGCGAAUCAUUUUUGUGGGACAUGGAUUGUAUUGAAUUCAUGUUGCAUGUUUGAGUACCGUAAUUUACCAUUGGACUAUUCUCGUGCUGAAUUCAGGAGUGAAUUGAUUGUGUCGUAAUAAUCUUCUUCUUAAAAAAAGUAGCAUUCCCUUACGGAAGGAUUCUGUAUGGUUGUAUCUCUAGUUGUAUUCUGCCUCCAGUGACCUCUAUCAUACUACAAAUGUGAACUGAUUUGUUGAUUCUCACGGCUCUUUGUAAACUAUAUCUUCACAAACCGAUGCAACAUAUUCCUUUUCAUAAUAGCAUUUUGAUUUGGAAGUACGGAAAUGAUUUAGCUUACAUAAUCAAUUGGUCCUAUGCAUCUGUAGCAUUGUUCUUUGAUUGUAUGCAAUUGCUGAAGUGAUCCAUCCUUAAUAAUUCAACCAAAUAUUUAGUUUUAUGGGUUUGUAAUGCAUGAUAUAUUUACUUGAUGCUACGCUCAUCUAAUGUAUUCAUUUUAUAUAGGUAUGCCUGGAAUGACUGCUUAUGCUGGUUUUUAUGAGGUCUGCAAUCCUAAGAAGGGAGAGACGGUCUUCAUUUCAGCAGCAUCUGGGGCGGUAGGUCAGCUUGUUGGCCAAUUUGCAAAGUCGUUGGGUUGCUAUGUUGUUGGAAGUGCUGGAAGCAAAGAAAAGGUCAGUUAUUGCAAAUUUAGUGGUCGAUGUCAACUAUAUCUUCUGUGAUUGUGACUCAAUCGGAUGAUUAUUCUUGGUUUAGAAAUAUGUAUUAAGUGAUGUAUGCCAAAUUGGCAACAGUGAAAUUUUGACUAAUAGAAAAGGGGAAAAUUACGAGAACUUAUUGGAAUGUACAGAUAUUGGUGACCCUUUAUCUUCAUAACCAAGUGCGUAAAAUUCAGCUUUGACCUGUUUUCAACCUCCUGCCUCAUUUAGUUGGCAAAUUGUUCGUAUCAUAUGAUACCGCAAGCAUAUGCUACUUAGUAAAUUACAGAGAAAUGCGCAUCUAUGAGCUUUUUUGGUCUCAUUCCUACAGUUUUCCGUAUUUCAAAUGACAAUGUUUUAACCAUUCUUGCUGUAUUUUAACAUGUUAUAUCAUUUCUGAGGUUAGGUUGAUCUGCUGAAGAACAAGUUUGGGUUUGACAAAGCUUUCAAUUAUAAAGAAGAGCCUGAUUUGGAUGCAGCUUUAAAAAGGUCAGUAUUUAUAUGUUGAUCAGAAUCAAACUAUUAUUUUAAAGCUUUUACAUGUGUCUUAAUUACGAGGGGAAAGUCCAAUAAAGGCAUUAGCAAUCUCUAAAGUCAUGCUUUAGUGAUUUAGUCCCCAAUUCCUAAAACAGAGAAAAAGUAAGUUGAAAUGUGACGGUGGGAGCAUGUGGCUGUUGAAGAGAUACUCACGUCUUUGUCCUCUUUGUAGAUAUAUUCCAUGGUUUUCGGUGUUUGCUUAUGGUCUAAAUAUGUGAUUUGCUUACCAGAUACUUUCCUGAAGGCAUCGACAUAUACUUUGAAAACGUUGGGGGAAAAAUGCUUGAUGCAGUGCUACAAAACAUGAGGCUCCAUGGCCGGAUUGCAGUUUGUGGGAUGGUCUCGCAGUAUAACCUUGACCAGCCUGAAGGUUGUCACAAUUUAAUGUAUCUGAUCAUUAAACAGAUUCGCAUGCAAGGUUUCUGGGUUUCUAGUUACUACCACCUUUACGGAAAGUUUCUUGAAAUGGUUCUGCCGGCCAUAAAAGAAGGGAAGAUAACUUAUGUGGAAGAUGUAGUGGAAGGCCUUGAGAGCGCUCCAGCUGCUCUGAUAGGGCUCUUUGCCGGCCGCAAUGUGGGAAAGCAGGUGGUGGUAGUUUCCCGAGAAUGAUUUCAUUAGGCUCUCCAUGGCUCCGAAGUCUCAACCUUUAGCUAUAUGGUAUAGGGUAUAAUCGUCUACUAUGAAAUGCAAAUGCUUUCUUAUACAUUUACAAGUUUAU
RNAcentral lists this long non-coding RNA (24042 nucleotides) under Malus domestica (apple). Its description in RNAcentral is "long non-coding RNA (MDOM_LNC001269)". Lineage: Eukaryota; Viridiplantae; Streptophyta; Magnoliopsida; Rosales; Rosaceae. The record is from RNAcentral.